GACGAACGCUGGCGGCGUGCUUAACACAUGCAAGUCGAGCGGUAAGGCCCUUUCGGGGGUACACGAGCGGCGAACGGGUGAGUAACACGUGGGUGACCUGCCCUCAGCUCUGGGAUAAGCCUGGGAAACCGGGUCUAAUACUGGAUAUGACUCCAUGACGCAUGUUGUGGGGUGGAAAGCCUUGUGCGGCUGAGGAUGGGCCCGCGGCCUAUCAGCUUGUUGGUGGGGUGANGGCCUACCAAGGCGACGACGGGUAGCCGGCCUGAGAGGGCGACCGGCCACACUGGGACUGAGACACGGCCCAGACUCCUACGGGAGGCAGCAGUGGGGAAUCUUGCGCAAUGGGCGAAAGCCUGGCGCAGCGACGCCGCGUGAGGGAUGGCGGCCU
Molecule: ribosomal RNA, 388 nt
Filed under: uncultured bacterium
Lineage: Bacteria
Description: bacterial SSU rRNA
Rfam family: Bacterial small subunit ribosomal RNA
Source: RNAcentral